ACUGAGUUUUACCGAAGAUUUUUGUUAAUUCUAUUUUUUUAUUGAAAUUUUCUAUGUUGAUAUAUUUAUUGGCUUUUAAUGGAUAUGUUUGAUUCACUAGAAAAAGAUUGAACUUUUGAUUGGAGAAAGAUUUUCUUUUAGAGAUUUGAUUUUAAAUUUCAAAGGACUUGAUUAUGAUGAAACUGUGCAUAGUUCUUUCUAUAGAUAAAUUGUAAGUUUAGCCAAGUCUAGUUAAUUGUGGUGUUUAACUAUCUGCUCAAAGCAACCGCGAGCGACCAGAGAGAAAGGACAUGUCUGCUCGAGGAGAUGGACUGACAGAUCAGUAGUUGAAGACUUAUUGUAUGGCUAUGAGGUCGUACUUUAAAGCUCCUUCCUUUGAUGUGGUAUUUGGGAAUAGUGAAGGCUGGCUACUAAGUUGCGGACAAUAUUGAGGAAUCAAGAUGUGUUUGAAGAUUAGACCUCCAUUCCCAUGGAGACACUACUUUCAAAACACACAUCGUCUCAUCUUUGUGGUUGAUAGAAAUGACAACGACCAUGUUGUUGAGGCAAGGGACAAGCUUCACAAGGUGUUAAAUGAGGUAAGUACUUUCUACUUUAUCAGCCCGGGUGCCUCAAGUGUACAUUUUGGAUCAUGCUAAAAAACUUCCAGUGGAGUAGGUUGUGGGGAUUGGGUACCCAUACACACUAACUUGUCAGCCACUGAUGAAUUAUACAGUGAAGUACAAGCACUCGCAAUCAUUAAUAAGAUGUGAGUAAAGCUCAUUUGGUGUUGUAAGCAUCUGUAUAACAUCUAAGAAGUCUCCUUCAAUUUGUAAUGACCUUAGGUGGUAAGACUUGGCAUAAAGUCCUUGCAGUAGAGCAUGCAUUUCAACAAUAGUUAUGGAUUCUUUUGGUAUUGUUCCAGCAAGUCGGGAAUCCAAUCACUCAAAGUUAAAUGUUUGUUCAGUCUAUUUUGUUAGUUCAAGCAGUCAUAUGUGAAUAAUUUUAUUCCUUUCUUCGAUUUUGUUAUUUCUUUAACUCUAGACCACUCA
Molecule: long non-coding RNA, 1031 nt
Organism: Solanum stenotomum
Lineage: Eukaryota; Viridiplantae; Streptophyta; Magnoliopsida; Solanales; Solanaceae
Exons: 4
Source: RefSeq, a predicted model, not a curated record